ACCUUGGCCGAGAGGCCUGGGCAAUCUUGUUAACGUGCAUCGUGAUAGGGAUAGAUUAUUGNAAUUAUUAAUCUUGAACGAGGAAUUCCUAGUAAACGCAGAUCAUCAAUCUGCAUUGAUUA
Molecule: ribosomal RNA, 122 nt
Filed under: uncultured eukaryote
Lineage: Eukaryota
Description: partial 18S ribosomal RNA
Rfam family: Eukaryotic small subunit ribosomal RNA
Source: RNAcentral